GAUUUGAUAUGUUUGUAAUAGCUGGGGGCUUUAGAACCCGCCGAGGCCGGAGCCCCGGCUACCCCCUCAAAAGAAGCGGAAAAAAUUCGGAAUCAAAUGAAAAUGGAAGCCUAACUCACACCAAUUACACACAAAUAUCCCCACACCUACUUCAGCAGAAAGUAAUCUGAAAGACUAAUCAACAAAAACAUUAAGAAAAACAUAGAUUUUCUUAAAUCUAAAAAUUGAGCACAAAUGUCAGCAUGUAGAUUUCAGGUCUUAUAGUAAUUGAUGAGAGAGAAAUUCCCCGGAGGACUUUUCGGAAUCCUAACGGCGAAGGGAAAUUGAGACGGAGAGAAAUUAGGGUUUUAUUUUCAGGUGAAAGAUUCACA
This 371-nucleotide long non-coding RNA is filed under the name Panax ginseng (ginseng). RNAcentral describes it as "long non-coding RNA (PGIN_LNC008813)". The record is from RNAcentral. Lineage: Eukaryota; Viridiplantae; Streptophyta; Magnoliopsida; Apiales; Araliaceae.